This 460-nucleotide ribosomal RNA is filed under the name uncultured bacterium. RNAcentral describes it as "partial 16S ribosomal RNA". It matches the Rfam family "Bacterial small subunit ribosomal RNA", at positions 338 to 795 of the family's 1533-position model. The record is from RNAcentral.
CCUACGGGGGGCAGCAGUGAGGAAUAUUGGUCAAUGGACGAGAGUCUGAACCAGCCAAGUAGCGUGAAGGAUGACUGCCCUAUGGGUUGUAAACUUCUUUUAUAUGGGAAUAAAACGUUCCACGUGUGGGAUUUUGUAUGUACCAUAUGAAUAAGGAUCGGCUAACUCCGUGCCAGCAGCCGCGGUAAUACGGAGGAUCCGAGCGUUAUCCGGAUUUAUUGGGUUUAAAGGGAGCGUAGGUGGAUUGUUAAGUCAGUUGUGAAAGUUUGCGGCUCAACCGUAAAAUUGCAGUUGAAACUGGCAGUCUUGAGUACAGUAGAGGUAGGCGGAAUGCGUGGUGUAGCGGUGAAAUGCUUAGAUAUCGCGAAGAACUCCGAUUGCGAAGGCAGUUCACUGGACUGCAACUGACACUGAGGCUCGAAAGUGUGGGUAUCAAACAGGAUUAGAUACCCGAGUAGUC